RNAcentral lists this long non-coding RNA (221 nucleotides) under Elaeis guineensis (African oil palm). RNAcentral describes it as "long non-coding RNA (EGUI_LNC010106)". The record is from RNAcentral. Lineage: Eukaryota; Viridiplantae; Streptophyta; Magnoliopsida; Arecales; Arecaceae.
GACGAGGGGAUUGGCCGCAACAGAUUGGCGCGCCAGGUAGGGGUCGAACCUACGACAGCACCAGGGAUUGUAACCCUCACGAAACUCGAAACAUCCUUUCGAGAUGGCAAGAACCAGAGCUCAGUGAUCGAGGGUCACCGGGUCGGCGAAGCUCUCUUCCCGUCGGGAAGAGGCCUCCCCUCCACCCUCCAUGGGGGAACCUAGUUCUCCGCACCCCGCGG